RNAcentral lists this ribosomal RNA (253 nucleotides) under uncultured bacterium. Its description in RNAcentral is "partial 16S ribosomal RNA". It matches the Rfam family "Bacterial small subunit ribosomal RNA", at positions 524 to 776 of the family's 1533-position model. The record is from RNAcentral.
UACGAAGGGGGCUAGCGUUGUUCGGAAUUACUGGGCGCAAAGCGCGCGCAGGCGGUCUUCCAAGUCAGUGGUGAAAGCCCGGAGCUCAACUCCGGAACUGCCAUUGAAACUGUAAGACUUGAGGAUGAGAGAGGUGAGUGGAAUUCCCAGUGUAGAGGUGAAAUUCGUAGAUAUUGGGAAGAACACCGGUGGCGAAGGCGGCUCACUGGCUCAUAUCUGACGCUCAGGCGCGACAGCGUGGGGAUCAAACAGG